GUUGUUCGGAAUUACUGGGCGUAAAGGGCGCGUAGGCGGUUCGCUAAGUUGGAUGUGAAAACUCUGGGCUCAACCCAGAGCCUGCAUCCAAAACUGGCGGGCUAGAGUUCUGGAGGGGGUAGCGGAAUUCCUGGUGUAGCGGUGAAAUGCGUAGAUAUCAGGAGGAACACCGGUGGCGAAGGCGGCUACCUGGACAGAAACUGACGCUGAGGCGCGAAAGCUAGGGGAGCAAACAGG
RNAcentral lists this ribosomal RNA (237 nucleotides) under uncultured bacterium. Its description in RNAcentral is "partial 16S ribosomal RNA". It matches the Rfam family "Bacterial small subunit ribosomal RNA", at positions 540 to 776 of the family's 1533-position model. The record is from RNAcentral.